Molecule: ribosomal RNA, 423 nt
Filed under: uncultured bacterium
Lineage: Bacteria
Description: bacterial SSU rRNA
Rfam family: Bacterial small subunit ribosomal RNA
Source: RNAcentral
AUGGGUUGUAAACUGCUUUUAUACGGGGAUAAAGUAUGCCACGUGUGGUUUAUUGCAGGUACCGUAUGAAUAAGGACCGGCUAAUUCCGUGCCAGCAGCCGCGGUAAUACGGAAGGUCCGGGCGUUAUCCGGAUUUAUUGGGUUUAAAGGGAGCGUAGGCCGGGUUUUAAGCGUGCCGUGAAAUGUCGGGGCUCAACCUUGACACUGCGGCGCGAACUGGAGUCCUUGAGUGCGCGGAACGUAUGCGGAAUUCGUGGUGUAGCGGUGAAAUGCUUAGAUAUCACGAAGAACCCCGAUUGCGAAGGCAGCAUACGGCAGCGCUACUGACGCUGAAGCUCGAAGGCGCGGGUAUCGAACAGGAUUAGAUACCCUGGUAGUCCGCGCGGUAAACGAUGGAUGCCCGCUGUUGGCGAUAUAUUGUCA